Molecule: ribosomal RNA, 388 nt
Filed under: uncultured bacterium
Lineage: Bacteria
Description: bacterial SSU rRNA
Rfam family: Bacterial small subunit ribosomal RNA
Source: RNAcentral
AUUGAACGCUGGCGGCAUGCUUUACACAUGCAAGUCGAACGGUAACAGGUUAAGCUGACGAGUGGCGAACGGGUGAGUAAUGCAUCGGAACGUGCCCAGUCGUGGGGGAUAACGCAGCGAAAGCUGUGCUAAUACCGCAUACGAUCUAUGGAUGAAAGCGGGGGACCGUAAGGCCUCGCGCGAUUGGAGCGGCCGAUGUCAGAUUAGCUAGUUGGUGGGGUAAAGGCCCACCAAGGCGACGAUCUGUAGCUGGUCUGAGAGGACGACCAGCCACACUGGAACUGAGACACGGUCCAGACUCCUACGGGAGGCAGCAGUGGGGAAUUUUGGACAAUGGGCGCAAGCCUGAUCCAGCAAUGCCGCGUGCAGGAAGAAGGCCUUCGGGUUG